CGAAUCCUGAAGUGUUUGUUUUUUAGUUGUUAAUCUAUGUUUUGACCGAACAUUAAAUGAAUGGGAGCCUUUAUUUCACUUACGGCAAACAUGCCCCCCUACCGUAGCGGGACGUUUAAUGUAGUGAAGCGGGCACCCACCUGCUAGAGAGCGGGUUCAAAACUUUAACAAUAUAACGGCAUAUUCGGGAUUCGU
Molecule: non-coding RNA, 195 nt
Filed under: [Bacillus] sp. KCTC 13219
Lineage: Bacteria; Bacillati; Bacillota; Bacilli; Caryophanales; Bacillaceae
Description: 6S RNA
Rfam family: 6S / SsrS RNA
About the family: E. coli 6S RNA was the first non coding RNA to be sequenced, but its function was unknown until recently. It consists of 184 nucleotides that fold into an extended hairpin structure with a large single-stranded internal bulge.
Source: RNAcentral